AAGCGAAUAUCAUUUGUACCGUAGACAGUAGGUGCCUCAAGCAGGCUUAAUUUCCUACCGAGGUGUUGAAACUGAUAAAUAAGUGCAUACGUGCACUUUCAGGGGCCUCCAUGUCUACGUUGACAUGGAGGUUUUUCAUUGGACGG
This is a non-coding RNA of Anoxybacillus sp. BCO1, 146 nucleotides long. NCBI's taxonomy places the organism in Bacteria, Bacillati, Bacillota, Bacilli, Caryophanales, Anoxybacillaceae. The record is from Rfam.